AGGGAUAUAACUCAGUGGUAGAGUGUCACCUUGACGAGGUGGAAGUCAUCAGUUCGAGCUUGAUUAUCCCUA
This is a non-coding RNA of Capsicum annuum, 72 nucleotides long. The record is from Rfam. Lineage: Eukaryota; Viridiplantae; Streptophyta; Magnoliopsida; Solanales; Solanaceae.